CCGCCCCGAGCUUCCGUCGUCGGCCCUUGUCAUUAGACCACUAUCUAUGCAUGUAUAUUAAGCCUUUCGACAUGGUCUUCUCUCUCUUUCCUAUUGCUAUUGGGAUCCCUUUCAUAUUCAUAUUCAAUAAAUAGAUUGCCUCUAUCCAUUUCUCCCUCUCUACUUCAAAGGGCGGGGAGGUAGGAUGGGAGACCCACAUGCCCACUUCUCCUUCCCUGCCCCAUUUCUGGGACGGGCCUCGUUCUUAUUU
Molecule: long non-coding RNA, 250 nt
Filed under: Arachis ipaensis
Lineage: Eukaryota; Viridiplantae; Streptophyta; Magnoliopsida; Fabales; Fabaceae
Description: long non-coding RNA (AIPA_LNC001944)
Source: RNAcentral